This 445-nucleotide ribosomal RNA is filed under the name uncultured bacterium. RNAcentral describes it as "partial 16S ribosomal RNA". It matches the Rfam family "Bacterial small subunit ribosomal RNA", at positions 354 to 796 of the family's 1533-position model. The record is from RNAcentral.
GUAGGGAAUAUUGGUCAAUGGACGAAAGUCUGAACCAGCCAUUCCGCGUGCAGGAAGAAGAUUCUAUGGAUUGUAAACUGCUUUUAGCAGAGAAGAAACGCCUUCAUUGAUGAGGGUUUGACGGUAUCUGCGGAAUAAGCACCGGCUAACUCCGUGCCAGCAGCCGCGGUAAUACGGGGGGUGCAAGCGUUAUCCGGAAUCACUGGGUUUAAAGGGUGCGUAGGCGGGAAAUUAAGUCAGUGGUGAAAGUCUGUUGCUUAACGAUAGAAUUGCCGUUGAUACUGAUUUGCUUGAAUUGGGUUGAGGUUAGCGGAAUGUGACAUGUAGCGGUGAAAUGCAUAGAUAUGUCAUGGAACACCAAUUGCGAAGGCAGCUAGCUGGGCCUUGAUUGACGCUGAGGCACGAAAGCGUGGGUAGCGAACAGGAUUAGAUACCCUUGUAGUCC